Non-coding RNA from Paramormyrops kingsleyae, 1710 nucleotides. NCBI's taxonomy places the organism in Eukaryota, Metazoa, Chordata, Actinopteri, Osteoglossiformes, Mormyridae. The record is from RefSeq and is a predicted model, not a curated record.
AUAGGUCUGCGCAUUACAAUACUCAUGCUCAAAUCAUGCAGGGCAUCAUCCAUCUGACCGCAGCAACUGUCCUGCCUUCAACAAACAUUGUAAGCAUGUGGGAAGUGGAACCACUUCUCUAAGUGUUGCAGGUAAACUAAGUUGCAUGCCAGGCCAGUGCAAUCCUCAGCCCAGUUCAAUUAAUCACAACCCAAAGCAAGCAGGAGCAGGUGUUCACAUAAAAUAAACAAGCUUGACACGCACGAGACAGCACAGGAACCAACAGACCUGUUCUACUGUGAAAACAUGGAGAUGCCAGCACAGAGAGCAGCCCUUACCAUCCCCGAUCAAAUGGCCUAGCAGAGAGGGCCAUGCGUUCAGCCAAACAACUGCUGGAGAAAUGUACACGUGAUGGCAUGGACAUAUACACAGCUCUGCUGAACCUACACAAUGCACCAAGAGAUGGACUGACGUCACCAGCUCACCGUCUGCUAUCUCGGCGCACCAAGGCACUCAUUCCCAUGAUCAAGGGUAUGUACAUCCCCAAUUGCAAGGUAGAGACACGAGGUCAGGCAGCUCUAAUGUAGGCCAGACAGAGGGGAAAAGCACACUAUGACCGAUCAGCCAGACCGCUGGUCUCAUUGCACACAGGACAAACGGUACAAGUUCAAACACGCAGAGGAUAUGACACAUUAGCAACAGUACUUGGAAGAGUGUGACAGCCUAACAGCUACCAGGUCCGGGAUGCAGAUGCUAUGUAUGUGAGGAACAAGCGUUAACUCCUCCAGAUACCUGAAUUUUCUUUGGCCACUGCAGAGCCCCCAACAGACACAAAGGCUGACAUUGUUGACCCAGUAGUGGCGCAGGCAGACGAAUCUGUGGUCAUCACACGCUCGGGGAGAAUAUCGAAACCCGAUACAAGGAUUACACGGCUUAGUUUGAACCAUUACACGCAAAAGUGUGCUCUAGUUGUUUACUGUUGUACUCUAUGAUCUGUUAUUUUCCUCCUCUUGGAGAUUUGCUAGUUCUGUUGGCAUGUUGACAUAUUUCACCCUUCUUACAUUUGUUAGGAGUUUAUGCACAUGGCACCCCCAUGUUAUUCAGUCUUCAAGAAGGGGGAUGUAGAUUGGUUACUGUUACCAAGACAACCAUCCCUGUUUAGGAUAUGACGUCAGUGGCUAGAGCAGGCUGGGAUACUGGAGGGGAAAGAACAAGCUGUGCGUACUGAAUAAAGGAUCCAGACUAGUUCUUACACAGCUCAUGAGUGUUUGUGGUCUGUGUGUGCACAUCUACAAGAAGGAAGUGAAGCAGGCUGUUUAGAAAUUUCUAAACCGUUAUGUAACAGUCUUAACCACGCCCCCAAAUGUAACAUCUGCUAGUCCACUUUCAAGCUCAAUCGGCAUGCAGGUUCUGCAGGUAUUGUGAAGAACAACAGUGAAAAUGGCAGGCUGCGUUCAUAAUUGUUCCGUUUGAGGAUGUGACCAGGAUGUCGGCAUCUUUCACACCCUUCCCAAGGAACCGAACUGUCAACAGGCAUCUUUAACAGAUUCAUCGGACUCUUUAUUUGUCCAGCUGAUAGAGCUGAACUCAACGUCAAACCCAAAGGCCCCUAGAUGUGGAGAGGAAGACAAUUUAUUCCCAACUCCCCAUAUUCUCCACAUGGUGAUGCAGCUGGCUUUGGGCAAACCGAAGGCACCGAUGAACUCACCGAGGAGCCCUUGGCACCCUUGG